RNAcentral lists this ribosomal RNA (497 nucleotides) under uncultured bacterium. Its description in RNAcentral is "partial 16S ribosomal RNA". It matches the Rfam family "Bacterial small subunit ribosomal RNA", at positions 28 to 507 of the family's 1533-position model. The record is from RNAcentral.
GAUGAACGCUGGCGGCGUGCCUAAUACAUGCAAGUCGAGCGAACGGACGAGAGGCUUGCUUCUCUGAUGUUAGCGGCGGACGGGUGAGUAACACGUGGAUAACCUACCUAUAAGACUGGGAUAACUUCGGGAAACCGGAGCUAAUACCGGAUAAUAUUUUGAACCGCAUGGUUCAAAAGUGAAAGACGGUCUUGCUGUCACUUAUAGAUGGAUCCGCGCUGCAUUAGCUAGUUGGUAAGGUAACGGCUUACCAAGGCAACGAUGCAUAGCCGACCUGAGAGGGUGAUCGGCCACACUGGAUCUGAGACACGGUCCAGACUCCUACGGGAGGCAGCAGUAGGGAAUCUUCCGCAAUGGGCGAAAGCCUGACGGAGCAACGCCGCGUGAGUGAUGAAGGUCUUCGGAUCGUAAAACUCUGUUAUUAGGGAAGAACAUAUGUGUAAGUAACUGUGCACAUCUUGACGGUACCUAAUCAGAAAGCCACGGCUAACUACGUG